UACGUAGGGUGCAAGCGUUGUCCGGAAUUAUUGGGCGUAAAGGGUGCGUAGGCGGUUUGACAAGUCUGAUGUGAAAUCUAUGGGCUCAACCCAUAGUCUGCAUUCGAUACUGCCGUGCUUGAGGACUGGAGAGGAGACUGGAAUUUACGGUGUAGCGGUGAAAUGCGUAGAUAUCGUAAGGAAGACCAGUGGCGAAGGCGGGUCUCUGGACAGUUCCUGACGCUGAGGCACGAAGGUCAGGGGAGCAAACGGG
RNAcentral lists this ribosomal RNA (253 nucleotides) under uncultured bacterium. RNAcentral describes it as "partial 16S ribosomal RNA". It matches the Rfam family "Bacterial small subunit ribosomal RNA", at positions 524 to 776 of the family's 1533-position model. The record is from RNAcentral.